Molecule: RNase P RNA, 458 nt
Filed under: Candidatus Saccharimonadota bacterium
Lineage: Bacteria; Candidatus Saccharimonadota
Description: RNase P RNA component class A
Rfam family: Bacterial RNase P class A
About the family: Ribonuclease P (RNase P) is a ubiquitous endoribonuclease, found in archaea, bacteria and eukarya as well as chloroplasts and mitochondria. Its best characterised activity is the generation of mature 5'-ends of tRNAs by cleaving the 5'-leader elements of precursor-tRNAs. Cellular RNase Ps are ribonucleoproteins.
Source: RNAcentral
CAAACAUGCAGUGAUAAUCGCCCGCCAGCUGGCGGGAGGAAAGUCCGGGCAGCAUUAAGGUUUGACAGUUGCUAACGGCAACCAAGAGUGAUCUUAGGGAAAGUGCCACAGAAACAAGACUACCCCUCAUCUUUACAGAUGAGAUAUAGAAGUAAUUAGCGUAUCCAUAUCGUCUGUAGGGAUGAGGGGAAAAGGUGAAAAGAACGAAUAUUAAAAAAUCGUUGUUUAGCAGGGUGACUUGCUAAAAUGGUAAACCCUGUCAGCUGCAAGGAGCGAAAUUUUGCCGAAUUCGGCCAGUUGCCUUACUGAAUUUUGCGAUAAAAACCGCUUGAUCCGUUCUGAGCAAUCAGCGGACUAGAUAGAUGAUUAUCACCCGCACCUUGAUUAGCUAUAACAUCAGUUUAAACGUUUCAAUUAAGGUGUGGGGACAGAACCCGGCUUACUCGUAUGUUUGGUAU